GCGCGCCGCUGACGUCAGGGACCAAUGGCUGCGGCCACAGCUACCGCGCUGGAAUCCUGGCAGGCCGCGGCUCCGCGGAAGAGGCGCUCGGCGGCUCGACGGCCGCGGCGGAGGGAGGCGGCGCCCCGGAGUCCCAAGGCGGAGUUCGAGUCUGACAGCGGAGUCGUGCUUCGUCGCAUCUGGGAGGCUGAGAAGGACCUGUUUAUCUCUGAUUUCUGGAGUUCAGCACUAGAUUCCCAGAAGUCACUGUUGGGUAUAUGACCCUCUGUUUAGCCAACUUGAAAUUGAAGUACUGAACACCCUUGGUGUGACUGUUCUCAGUGAGAAUGAGGAAGGGAAACGGAGUAUUCGCGGGGAACCUACCAUCUUUUACAUGCUCCAUUGUGGGACGGCCUUGUACAACAAUCUUUUAUGGAGUAAUUGGUCAGUAGAUGCCCUUUCUAAGAUGGUCAUCGUUGGGAACAGUUUCAAAGGACUUGAGGAGAGGCUGUUGGCAAGGAUUCUGCAGAAAAAUUAUCCCUACAUUGCAAAGAUUUUAAAAGGACUGGAGGAGCUUGAGUUUCCUCAGACUUCACAAUACAUGGACAUAUUUAAUGACACCUCUGUCCACUGGUUCCCCAUGCAAAAGCUAGAACAGCUCUCCACAGAUAUUUGGGAGUUUCAGGAAGAACCAGAUUAUCAGGACUGUGAGGACCUUGAAAUCAUCAGGAACAAGACAGAAGAUCCUUCCACUACUGACUGAACUCACUGUGAGGUACUCAGUGUUGGCUGAGGUAGAAGCUGCCACCGGAGACUAAAGGGAAGGCUGCCAUGGAGGAACUACAGAGAACUCCUUUGCCAGGAAAGAACAUCAACUUGGCUGUCUUGUUUUGAGGACGAUACCCCCCAUGAGGACUUGGUAUAAAGAUUCCUGCACUGCUAAGUGGCAUUGUCCCGCUUUACAUGCUUCCCUCGUGACCUGGCCCAAUGUGGAGUAGCUCCCGAGUAAAGAAGUUACGCUUUUGAAGGUGAUCUAAAAUACCGUUUAUUCACAACACAUCCCUCUCAGGGGCAAGUCUCUGGCUGGCUCUGGGCCUGCCACAGUUCACUUGGCCAUGUCGAUCAGGCUCUGCAGUGAGGUGGGCACCCAUGUCUUCUCGCCCUGGACAAAGACCACUCCCCGGUCGAUGUAGAUCACAAUGCGGCCAAAGGUGUAGAGCUGCUUCCCUUCGUGUCGCUUCCCAAUGACGGGCAUGAAGACAAUGUUGUGCUCCUCAGCCUUGGUCUCAAUGAGGUCCUUAAAGUUCAUGGGCACAGAGCUGGCGGCCACGCCAAUGCCCCUCUGGGCCAUGUUCUCAGCCUCCCGCCUCUCCUGCAUGGCCUCGUACUGGAAGUCCUUCCUCCGCUCCGUGUGGGUGAGAUAGGCAAUGUUCUCCCGCGCGCCUGGCUGCAUGUAGGCACCUGAGAGAUACAGGAGGACAGGGCAGUGAGAAGAGGUGUUUCCAGGUGUAUGGAAGUUGACGCUGACUUGGCCCAGGUCUGGGUGUGCCAGAGUGUUUGUGACUCACUGAAGGGCAGUUCUGCCUCAAAGAUACAACUUUGGAGGAAGUUUAGACAACUGGCCAGUAUCACAUAAAAACUGUUCAGAAGGUUUCUGGCUAGUAUCUAGUAACCAAAGAGAUUAUUAAAUAUUCAACAUUUAAAAAUGAA
Macaca mulatta (Rhesus monkey) is the source of this 1689-nucleotide non-coding RNA. The record is from RefSeq and is a predicted model, not a curated record. NCBI's taxonomy places the organism in Eukaryota, Metazoa, Chordata, Mammalia, Primates, Cercopithecidae.